Acomys russatus (golden spiny mouse) is the source of this 230-nucleotide long non-coding RNA. RefSeq lists it as uncharacterized. The record is from RefSeq and is a predicted model, not a curated record. NCBI's taxonomy places the organism in Eukaryota, Metazoa, Chordata, Mammalia, Rodentia, Muridae. The transcript is spliced from 3 exons.
UGUUGUUGCCCGCUGUCAUGGAGAUCCUACAACUUUGGAUCAGGAGAAUCAGAUAUUUCAGGUGCCCCAACAGUUCACAGGUCAACACCAAAGUCUAAUGUAUCUCUGCUGUCUUUGCUCUCCUCCCAGGGCUCAGGCAUGGUGAAGAGGAAAUCCACUUCUGGACUACCUGAGAAACCUUGCUCCUUGCGUGAGCCUUUGAAGCCCCUGCCACAACACAAGGCUACACU